This 1326-nucleotide long non-coding RNA is filed under the name Salmo trutta (river trout). RNAcentral describes it as "lncRNA (ENSSTUG00000049640.1)". The record is from RNAcentral. Lineage: Eukaryota; Metazoa; Chordata; Actinopteri; Salmoniformes; Salmonidae.
AUCACGACUAAGUCUGUGUUAAAAGCUUUGACUCAGUUUUUCUCACUGUUUGGAAUCCCUAAGGUCAUUCAGAGUGAUCAAGGAUCAAAUUUCACCUCUAAUCUCUUUGGUCAGGUUCUCCAACAGCUCCAUAUUAAACACAAUUUGUCUAGCGCCUAUCAUGCGCAAAGUCAAGGAGCACUGGAACGUUUCCAUCAAACACUUAAGUCUUUGUUGAGAGCUUAUUGUACUGAGAUGGAUAAGGAUUGGGAGGAGGGGUUGCCUUGGUUACUGUUAGCCGCUAGGGAGGUUUCACAGGAGAGCACAGGUUUCAGUCCAAAUGACCUUGUGUUUGGACAUAGGGUGUGUGGACUUUUAUCUGUUCUCCAGGAUGAUUGGAAGUCUCCCGAGCCUCCUCAGUCCCUGUUAUCGUAUGUGUGUGAUUUCCGGCGACGCUUGUACGCCGCUGGUGAAAUGGCGAAAGAAAAGCUAUCAUCUUCACAGGAAAGGAUGAAGGGCAUAUUUGAUCGUCGAACUGAGCCUCGUCACUUUAGUCCAGGUGACCAGGUUCUUGCUCUGCUGCCAAUUAUUGGUUCUCCUUUUCAAGCCAAGUUUCAAGGUCCAUAUACAGUGGUGCGCCAGUACACUGAGCAGAAUUAUCUAGUUGCCACUCCAGAACGGAGAAAAGCACACCAACUGUGCCAUGUAAAUUUGUUAAAACCCUAUUAUGCACGUUCAACGGAGACUGAACAGUGGGAGUCUACAGAGGACGGUAAACCUGUUCUUUUGGCUGAUACCGUUACAUCCUUUGGUUCUUCUCAUGCUAGGUCUGUGCAUGAUGAGGAAGAUGUUCCUGGUCCCGACGAUUGCAUAUUGCAAGGUAGAUUGAAAAAUUCAGAGACACUGGAUAUUUUGGACGACCUUCUUACUCAUCUACCUGUUGAUGAGCGAAAAGAGAUGGUUGGUCUGAUUUGGAAAUUUCCAGAGUUGUUUUCUGAUACACCAACACGUACAAACUUGAUAGAGCAUGAUAUUGACAUUGGAGAUGCUGACCCCAUUCGUCAGCGGUUCUAUAGAGUUUCUGCAGAGAAACUGCGUUGUCUGGAUGCUGAGGUCAGGUACAUGCUGGAGAGUAAGAUAGCAGAGCCUUCUUUCUCCAGUUGGGCUUCUCCCUGUAUCUUGGUCAGUAAACCGGAUGGAACAAACAGAUUUUGUACGGACUACCGUAAGGUAAAUGCUGUCACUAAGCCAGAUUCAUUUCCUCUUCCUCGGAUGGAGGACUGCGUAGAUCAAGUCGGAGCAGCUAAGUUUGUGAGCAAAUUUGACCUGUUAAAGGGCUAUUGGCAG